This 1615-nucleotide long non-coding RNA is filed under the name Homo sapiens (human). RNAcentral's name for it is "HSALNT0114950". Lineage: Eukaryota; Metazoa; Chordata; Mammalia; Primates; Hominidae. The record is from RNAcentral.
CAGCUGCAUUUAAUGUGAUAAAGGAGAAACAGAAAGGAAGGGAGGGAGAGAAGACGGGAGGAUGGAAAAGAAGGAAGAGGAAGAGAGUGAAUGAAGACACGAGGAAGAGUCAUUUCCUUCUAUACAAUGUUUUCAUCCCUGCUCUCCAUUGUACAAUGUGUGGCUUUCUUGAGGCACUGCCUCUCGAGUCCCUACCUCAAACUUCACUUCAAAUAGGAGAUUUUAUGUUGGGGAAAGAAGGAUUGGUAAAGAAUUCUUACUUAAAAAAAAUCCUGCCCUCUCCCUCUCUCCCUCUCUCCCUCUGUCCCUCUCCCUCUCCCUCUCCCCACGGUCUCCCUCUCCCUCUCUCCACGGCCUCCCUCUGAUGCCGAGCUGAAGCUGGACGGUACUGCUGCCUGAUUCUCCUGCCUCAGCCUGCCAGCGCGCGCCGCCACGCCUGACUGGUUUUCGUAUUUUUUUGGUGGAGACGGGUUUCGCUGUGUUGGCUGGGCUGGUCUCCAGCUCCUAACCGCGAGUGAUCCGCCAGCCUCGGCAUCCUGAGGUGCGGGGAUUGCAGACAGAGUCUCGUUCACUCCGUGCUCAAUGGCGCCCAGGCUGGAGUGCAGUGGCGUGAUCUCGGCUCGCUACAACCUUCACCUCCCAGCAGCCUGCCUUGGCCUCCCAAAGUGCCGAGAUUGCAGCCUCUGCCCGGCUGCCACCCCGUCUGGGAAGUGAGGAGCGUCUCUGCCCGGCCGCCAUCCCAUCUAGGAAGUGAGGAGCGCCUCUUCCCGGCCGCCAUCCCAUCUAGGAAGUGAGGAGCGCCUCUUCCCGGCCACCCAUCAUCUGAGAUGUGGGGAGCACCUCUGCCCUGCCGCCCCGUCCGGGAUGUGAGGAGCGUCUCUGCCCGGCCGCCCCCUCUGAGAAGUGAGGAGACCCUCUGCCUGGCAACCGCCCCGUCUGAGAAGUGAGGAGCCCCUCCGCCCAGCAGCCACCCCGUCUGGGAAGUGAGGAGCGUCUCUGCCCGGCAGCCACCUCGUCCGGCAGGGAGGUGGGGGGGUCAGCCCCCCGCCCGGCCAGCCACCCCGUCCGGGAGGGAGGUGGGGGGAUCAGCCCCCCGCCCGGCCAGCCGCCCCGUCCGGGAGGUGAGGGGCGCCUCUGCCCGGCCGCCCCUACUGGGAAGUGAGGAGCCCCUCUGCCUGGCCGGCCGCUCCGUCCAGGAGGGAGGUGGGGGGGUCAGCCCCCCGCCCGGCCAGCCGCCCCGUCCGGGAGGGAGGUGGGGGGGGUCAGCCCCCCACCUGGCCAGCCGCCCCGUCCGGGAGGUGAGGGGCGCCUCUGCCCGGCCGCCCCUACUGGGAAAUGAGGAGCCCCUCUGCCCGGCCACCACCCCAUCUGGGAGGUGUGCCCAGCGGCUCAUUGAGAACGGGCCAUGAUGACAGUGGCAGUUUUGUGGAAUAGAAAGGGGGGAAAGGUGGGGAAAAGAUUGAGAAAUCGGAUGGUUGCCGUGUCUGUGUAGAAAGAGGUAGACGGGGGAGACUUUUCAUUUUGUUCUGUACUAAGAAAAAUUCUGCCUUGGGAUCCUGUUGAUCUGUGACCUUACCCCCAACCCUGUGCUAUCUGAAACAUGUGCUGUAUCCAC